ACGUGAAACCCUGUGGGAAGCAGGAGGGACCACCCUCCAAGGCUAAAUACUACCUAGUGACCGAUAGCGUAUAGUACCGUGAGGGAAAGGUGAAAAGAACCCCGGGAGGGGAGUGAAAUAGAACCUGAAACCCUGCACUUACAAGCUGUGGAAGCACAUUUCUUGUGUGACCGCGUACUUUUUGUAGAACGGGCCAACGAGUUACGUUAAGUAGCAAGGUUAAGCACUUAAGGUGCGGAGCCGUAGCGAAAGCGAGUUUUAACUGAGCGUUCAGUUACUUGACGUAGACCCGAAACCGGGCGACCUACCCAUGAGCAGGAUGAAGCGAAAGUAAAAUUUCGUGGAGGUCCGAACCCACGAGCGUUGAAAAGCUCGGGGAUGACUUGUGGGUAGCGGUGAAAUUCCAAUCGAGCCCGGAGAUAGCUGGUUCUCCCCGAAAUAGCUUUAGGGCUAGCCUCAAGGUGAGAGAUACGGAGGUAGAGCACUGAAUGUCCUAGGGGGUAUUGCACCUACCGAAGACUAUCAAACUCCGAAUGCCGUCAUCUUAUACUUGGGAGUCAGACUGUGGGUGAUAAGAUUCAUAGUCGAAAGGGCAACAGCCCAGAUCGUCAGCUAAGGUCCCUAAAUGUAAGUUAAGUGGUAAAGGAUGUGGGAUUGCACAGACAACCAGGAUGUUGGCUUAGAAGCAGCCACUCAUUCAAAGAGUGCGUAAUAGCUCACUGGUCGAGUGAUCCUGCGCCGAAGAUUUCCGGGGCUAAAACUUACUACCGAAGCUACGGCAUCAGUAAUGAUGGGUAGGGGAGCUUCCCAUACGGGUUGAAGCAUGACCGUAAGGACAUGUGGACAGUAUGGGAGUGAGAAUGUUGGCAUGAGUAGCGAGAUGUGGGUGAGAAUCCCACAGGCCGUAAACCCAAGGUUUCCAGGGGAAGGUUCGUCCGCCCUGGGUUAGUCGGGACCUAAGCUGAGGCCGAAAGGCGUAGGUGAUGGACAACAGGUUGAUAUUCCUGUACUACCGAUAACCGUUUGAGAGAUGGGAUGACACAGUAGGAUAAGCUAAGCACACUGUUGGUUAUGUGUGCCCAAGCAUUGAGGCAGUCAAAGUAGGCAAAUCCGCUUUGAUAAUGCUGGGAUGUGAUGGGGAGCGAAAUUUAGUAGCGAAGUAGCUGAUUUCACACUGUCAAGAAAAGUCUCUAUCGAGGUUAAAGGUACCCGUACCGCAAACCGACACAGGUGGGUGAGGAGAGUAUCCUAAGGCCAGCGAGAGAACUGUUGUUAAGGAACUCGGCAAAAUGACCCCGUAACUUAGGGAUAAGGGGUGCCACCAUCAGGUGGCCGCAGAGAAUAGGCCCAAGCGACUGUUUACCAAAAACAUAGGUUUCUGCUAAGUCGCAAGACGAUGUAUAGGAGCUGACGCCUGCCCGGUGCUGGAAGGUUAAGGGGAUCUGUUAGAGCAAUCGAAGCAGUGAACUUAAGCCCCAGUAAACGGCGGCCGUAACUAUAACGGUCCUAAGGUAGCGAAAUUCCUUGUCGGGUAAGUUCCGACCCGCACGAAAGGCGUAACGAUUUGGGCACUGUCUCAACAACAGACUCGGUGAAAUUGUAAUUCCGGUGAAGAUGCCGGAUACCUGCGACAGGACGGAAAGACCCCAUGGAGCUUUACUGUAGCUUGACAUUGGGUCUUGGUACUACAUGUACAGGAUAGGUGGGAGGCUUUGAAACCAGGACGCCAGUUUUGGCGGAGCCAUCCUUGGGAUACCACCCUUGUAGUACUGGGACUCUAACCAUAGGCCAUGAAUCUGGUCUUGGGACACUGUCAGGUGGGCAGUUUGACUGGGGCGGUCGCCUCCCAAAAGGUAACGGAGGCGCUCAAAGGUUCUCUCAGUACGGUCGGAAAUCGUACGUAGAGUGUAAAGGCAAAAGAGAGCUUGAUUGCAAGACAUACAGGUCGAGCAAGGAUGAAAAUCGGACUUAGUGAUCCGGUGGUUCUGCGUGGAAGGGCCAUCGCUCAACGGAUAAAAGCUACCCUGGGGAUAACAGGCUUAUCUCCCCCAAGAGUCCACAUCGACGGGGAGGUUUGGCACCUCGAUGUCGGCUCAUCACAUCCUGGGGCUGUAGUAGGUCCCAAGGGUUGGGCUGUUCGCCCAUUAAAGUGGUACGCGAGCUGGGUUCAGAACGUCGUGAGACAGUUCGGUCCCUAUCCGUCGCAGGCGUAGGAAAUUUGAGAAGACCUGUCCUUAGUACGAGAGGACCGGGAUGGACG
Molecule: ribosomal RNA, 2260 nt
Filed under: Clostridioides difficile
Lineage: Bacteria; Bacillati; Bacillota; Clostridia; Peptostreptococcales; Peptostreptococcaceae
Description: partial 23S ribosomal RNA
Rfam family: Bacterial large subunit ribosomal RNA
Source: RNAcentral